Rosa rugosa (rugosa rose) is the source of this 2219-nucleotide long non-coding RNA. RefSeq lists it as uncharacterized. The transcript is spliced from 4 exons. The record is from RefSeq and is a predicted model, not a curated record. NCBI's taxonomy places the organism in Eukaryota, Viridiplantae, Streptophyta, Magnoliopsida, Rosales, Rosaceae.
ACAGAAACCUUCUUUCCCUCUCCCUGAGCUAGACCCCGAGCAACUGCAGCUCCCCGGCCAUUUUGGUUCUUCUGCCCCGAUCAGAGACAUUCUUUCCCUUUCCCAAUUAUGGUUAUUCUCUCCCUGAUCUAGGUUUUCUACACAGAAGAGUAUCAUCAACCUCUCCCCGAUCUAGGUCAAGAAGACACUGUUGGUGGAGUUCUUCGAUUGCACAAACGAUUUCACGAUAAGUCUUAUUCUUCGUCUUAGGGUUUCGACCUUGAUUUGUGUUGGGUUUUAGGGCUUCCUAGGGAUAUCGAUUUGGGGUUUUAGGGUUUCUUUGGGAUAUCGAAUUGGGAGUUUCCUUUGAAAUUAGAUUUGGGAUAACGAUUUAGAGAUGGGGUGAUUGAAAUAGAAUUGGGUUUUAUUCUGGUUUAUGGAUUUGGGGAUGGUUUAUGGUUCAUUUCGAUUUGGGAUGGUUUAUGGUUAUUCAGAAUCUAAGGCUCUGACUCCUCUCUAAUAGUGCUCCUCCCUCUCAAUCUUCAGCCUCCAUGACUCUAUAUCUGAUGCCUGAGAUUCAGUUCCUCGUUUUUUCUGUUGGGUUUUCUGAAAUUUUCACUUCUUAUUGAUUGGGACAUUGGGUAUAUGAAAUCUAUGUUUGAGUAUAUGAAAUCCAUGUUUGGGUUUAUUGAUUGGAUGGUUGCUGGCUUGCUGCAAUUGCUUAUUGUUUGGAAUUGAUGCUUUGUUAAUGGAGUGAUGGUUGUUUGACGUUUAUUUAAACAAUUGCUGAUUGUUUGAUUGUUUGGAUUAUACAUGUGAGUCUGUGAGCUUGUUUAUUCAGUUUGAUUGUCUGGGAUUAUACCUGCGAGUUUGGUUUAUAUGAAUCUCAUUUUGUUUAGCUUUGUAUGUUUAGUCGUAGCUGGUGGGACAAUUGCUUAGACUCCUUGCUUCUCAAUUGCAAUUUGAGGUUAUGCUUGUCCCCACAUUAAUUUUUCAUUCUAUUAACUUUGUUAGCUGGACAUUAUUACCUGCAGUUGAUUUUCAUGAAUGGAUUAUUACGUCUUUCUUAAUUUCUUAGAUUCUAGGCUCAUAGUGCUGGGAGAUGGUUCUGCACCUUUGUUCAUGGCAAGAGAACAUGUCAUUGUCUGAACCUUGCAACUGACUUCACUAUGCAAAGCCGGAGACUUUGGGAUUUUGAAAUUGCUUCAUGGUAUUGGAUUCUAGUCGAGGCAAAUCUGAACAAGGCAGAGUGCAGUUGCUGUCUUGGUUGCUGACGAAUUGGGAACCUGUUUUGAGUCGCUGUCCCUCAUUCUUUUAUUUGUAGAAUAGCAACGUGAUGCCCACCAACUGUUCGAUGAAAGGCCAAAGACAAUCUCUGCAGAAUUUGAUUGAGGUAGUCUUGGAAACUCUACCUAGAUUAUCUCCUCGUCUUGGAGUGGAAAUGGUUCAGAAGAAAAUAGCUGCAGCCUUGAAACAUUAGUGGGUUCUGGCUUUCCUUGUAAUCAAAGUUAAGUAUUCUUCUCUGUAAUGUAGGUCUUCAAUUGUAAGAAAUUAUAUUUUGGAAUAUUCAGAUCAACUUUUGUAGCCAAUACUUUAAUUGAAUGGUCAGACAAAUUGUUUUGAAAAAAAAAAAAAAAAAAAAAAGAGAUGAUCAAUCUUCAGUAAUAGUCAAAUUGUAUUACCUGCAAUUCGGAAGUGCAAGACUUGGUGUUUGGUAAGCAUUUUUAGGUUUAACUCUACAACUGAAGUUUGGUUUGUAUUUUUGAGACUUAACUAGUAAUAUAUGUAUAUAUAUUACAUGAUUUCGCAGGAUAUAGGGGAAGGAGUUCUUGCUUCAUGUGGGUCUUAUUUUAAGUGAAAGCUUGGAGUUAGGCUCAUUAGGCUAGCAUUGGAAGCGGAUGAUUGGCUUACACACAUAAGGAUAUUGAUGUGGUUUGAGCUGAAUGGGCAAAUCAUGUUAUGCAGUUCUAACUUUGGUUCUGUUUAAGGUAGAUGAGUAGCACUUGGAACUGCUUUUGUGCAUUUAUAUAUAACUGAUGGAAAGUGUUGAUGAACUUAAAUUAUGCAUGCAUUUGCUCUGUCUAGCUACUCUUUCUUUACCUUAUAGGUUUUUGACUUUGUGCACUAGGUAAAUGAUCGAGAUAAGAUGGUUUUUUGGUUCUCUUGAUCAUAAUGUAACUGUUGGCUAGGUUUAGAGUUGGAACUAUGCAUUGUAUUUUGGAUGAUGUUGAUGCAAUUAA